GCGUACCUACGGGAGGCAGCAGUAGGGAAUCUUCCACAAUGGGCGAAAGCCUGAUGGAGCAACGCCGCGUGGGUGAAGAAGGUCUUUGGAUCGUAAACCCCUGUUGUUAGAGAAGAAAGUGCGUGAGAGUAACUGUUCACGUUUCGACGGUAUCUAACCAGAAAGCCACGGCUAACUACGUGCCAGCAGCCGCGGUAGUACGUAGGUGGCAAGCGUUAUCCGGAUUUAUUGGGCGUAAAGGGAACGCAGGCGGUCUUUUAAGUCUGAUGUGAAAGCCUUCGGCUUAACCGGUGUAGUGCAUUGGA
This 305-nucleotide ribosomal RNA is filed under the name uncultured bacterium. Its description in RNAcentral is "bacterial SSU rRNA". It matches the Rfam family "Bacterial small subunit ribosomal RNA", at positions 333 to 630 of the family's 1533-position model. The record is from RNAcentral.